RNAcentral lists this ribosomal RNA (467 nucleotides) under uncultured bacterium. RNAcentral's name for it is "partial 16S ribosomal RNA". It matches the Rfam family "Bacterial small subunit ribosomal RNA", at positions 28 to 506 of the family's 1533-position model. The record is from RNAcentral.
GACGAACGCUGGCGGCGUGCUUAACACAUGCAAGUCGAACGGAAAGGCCCUGCUUUUGUGGGGUGCUCGAGUGGCGAACGGGUGAGUAACACGUGAGUAACCUGCCCUUGACUUUGGGAUAACUUCAGGAAACUGGGGCUAAUACCGGAUAGGAGCUCCUGCUGCAUGGUGGGGGUUGGAAAGUUUCGGCGGUUGGGGAUGGACUCGCGGCUUAUCAGCUUGUUGGUGGGGUAGUGGCUUACCAAGGCUUUGACGGGUAGCCGGCCGGAGAGGGUGACCGGCCCAGUGGGGGAUGGGAGGCGGCCCGAGCGCAUCCGGGGGGAAGGAGGGGGGAAUUUGGCAGAAGGGGCGGAGGCCUGAAGAAGCAACGCCGGGGGGGGGAUGCGGGCCUUGGGGUUGAAACCCGUUUUCGCUGGGAAGGAAGCGGGGGGGAGGGUAAUGGGUAAAGAAGCACGGGCAAAUACGGG